This 80-nucleotide Y RNA is filed under the name Alligator mississippiensis (American alligator). It matches the Rfam family "Y RNA". Rfam says of the family: Y RNAs are components of the Ro ribonucleoprotein particle (Ro RNP), in association with Ro60 and La proteins. The Y RNAs and Ro60 and La proteins are well conserved, but the function of the Ro RNP is not known. In humans the RNA component can be one of four small RNAs -- hY1, hY3, hY4 and hY5. Lineage: Eukaryota; Metazoa; Chordata; Crocodylia; Alligatoridae. The record is from Rfam by way of RNAcentral.
AGUUGGUCUGAAAGUAGUGGGUUAUCAAUGUGUGCUUUCCAUCCCUUUUUCCUCCCCCUACUGUCCUUGACCGAUUUUAU